This 419-nucleotide ribosomal RNA is filed under the name uncultured bacterium. Its description in RNAcentral is "bacterial SSU rRNA". It matches the Rfam family "Bacterial small subunit ribosomal RNA", at positions 355 to 775 of the family's 1533-position model. The record is from RNAcentral.
UGGGGAAUCUUGCGCAAUGGCCGAAAGGCUGACGCAGCGACGCCGCGUGGAGGAUGACGCCCUUCGGGGUGUAAACUCCUGUUGCCCGGGACGAACGCCUGGUUCGCCAGGUCUGACGGUACCGGGUGAGGAAGCACCGGCUAACUCUGUGCCAGCAGCCGCGGUAAUACAGAGGGUGCGAGCGUUGUCCGGAAUCACUGGGCGUAAAGGGCGCGUAGGUGGUGGGGUAAGCGUGUGGUGAAAGCCCGGGGCUCAACCCCGGGUCGGCCAUGCGGACUGCCCGACUGGAGCACGGUAGAGGCCAAUGGAAUUCCGGGUGUAGCGGUGGAAUGCGUAGAGAUCCGGAAGAACACCGGUGGCGAAGGCGGUUGGCUGGGCCGUGGCUGACACUGAGGCGCGACAGCGUGGGGAGCAAACAG